Molecule: long non-coding RNA, 344 nt
Filed under: Mytilus galloprovincialis (Mediterranean mussel)
Lineage: Eukaryota; Metazoa; Mollusca; Bivalvia; Mytilida; Mytilidae
Source: RNAcentral
CGUUUACUUUUCUACAUUGGCUAGAGGUAUAGGGGGAGGGUUGAGAUCUCACAAACAUGUUUAACCCCGCCGCAUUUUUGCGCCUGUCCCAAGUCAGGAGCCUCUGACCUUUGUUAGUCUUGUAUUAUUUUAAUUUUAGUUUUUUGUGUACAUUUGGAAAUUAGUAUGGCGUUCAUUAUCACUGAACUAGUAUAUAUUUGUUUAGGGGCCAGCUGAAGGACGACUCCGGGUGCGGGAAUUUCUCGCUACAUUGAAGAUCUGUUGGUGACCUUCUGCUGUUGUUUUUUUCUAUGGUCGGGUUGUUGUCUCUUUGGCACAUUCCCCAUUUCCAUUCUCAAUUUUAU